RNAcentral lists this ribosomal RNA (267 nucleotides) under uncultured bacterium. Its description in RNAcentral is "partial small subunit ribosomal RNA". It matches the Rfam family "Bacterial small subunit ribosomal RNA", at positions 26 to 285 of the family's 1533-position model. The record is from RNAcentral.
AGGACUAACGCUGGCGGCGUGCCUAACACAUGCAAGUCGAACGGACACCACUUUGUAGCAAUACAGAUGAAGUGUUAGUGGCAGACGGGUGAGUAACACGUGAGCAACCUGCCCUUAGCUUCGGGAUAGCUCCGGGAAACCGGAAUUAAUACCGAAUAUGAUUUUUGCUGACAUCAGCAGAAGUGGUAAAGUUUUUCGGCGUGGGGAUGGACUCGCGGCCUAUCAGCUUGUUGGUGGGGUAAUGGCCUACCAAGGCGACGACGGGUA